Cydia pomonella (codling moth) is the source of this 258-nucleotide long non-coding RNA. RefSeq lists it as uncharacterized. The record is from RefSeq and is a predicted model, not a curated record. The transcript is spliced from 2 exons. Lineage: Eukaryota; Metazoa; Arthropoda; Insecta; Lepidoptera; Tortricidae.
UCUUAAUGUUAACCUGAACGCGUCUAGCUGUUUUAGCCAUAGAGUUUACCAGCUGUCAUGAAUGACAGUUAUGACAUUGACAUUCAUGAUUGGCAAAAUAUGAAAGGAUUGUUCAUUACUAUAAAAUAGAUUUGAUUGAUUUUCUGUAAAAGAAAUAACAAAACCCUUAAAUAGAGGCUUUAAAUGUUGUUUCUUUUGUCUUUACAGAGAAACGCAAUUACGCCUUUGUUUUAUUCACAACAGUGAAAUAUUAUUAUA